ACAGGCAACUGGUGCCCAUGAGGUCACCUAGGGGAGACCCCACGUGUGUGUGAUGUACAUUUUUAAGGAGCUACUGGUACAGCAGUGCACAUUAAUGAGCAGGUGAAAGCUACAGAGCAGCUCCAGUAGCAGCAUGACAGUGUGAAAUUGUAAGUGGUGAUGUCUGAAGAUGAGUUUGGGAAAUGCAGACUCUGCCUUUCUCGUGCACUCAUAUGAAAAGUCACCUGGGGAGCACUGGAUUCUAGUGAAUACCCUCAAGUAAACUUCUAAGAAAACUACAGAUUUGGAGCUUCAAAUGCCUUGGUGAAGUUUCUAAGAACUUGGAUGUCUAAAAAGAACAGGGCAGGAAAUUAUCCAACUUGCAAGAGAAUGCUAGCUGAAAAUCGUCCCAUCUUAUGGAAAACCGGUAGAAAAUCCAGGAGGUGAAAUGGAGAACAUGUUCAACUGGAGAAUUCUAUUUCUUAUGCAUGUCAAAUAUGUUUCCUUCUCCUGCACUAGCUGUUCCUUCUGCUGGAAGAAUAUUUAUAUGACUGGCUAAACUUACUGUUCAGAUCUGAGAGUAAAUUUGCAUUUCUCAGAGAGUUAGUUCCUGACCACCCAACUCAAAGUACUAACACUCUAUCUAGUCCUUUUCUUGUUUGUUUUUCAUGUUUAUUUUAUUUCCCACCACUAGAAUCUAAGCUUUUUGAGAGCCGGCACUUUGUCCAUCUGGGUCACUGAAUCCCAAUGAGUUAUUCACAGAUGUUUUUAGUACAUAGUAGGUGAAAUGCAUAGAUAAUAUUUCAACUAAGAAAGUGAACAGAAGAAAGUUGGUCAUUGACUUAUUACUAGUAGCUCACUACUCUCUAUGUAUGAAGACAUCACUUACUGAUGGUUAUGAAGCAGAUGCUCAAUAAUUUUUUUUUAAUAAACAGGAGGGCAAGGAGCCAAUGUCGUUUGUAGUGGAGGGUAGUCAUGGACACUGAGAGUAUGUUUUAGACACAAUUUAUCAAUGGCCAGCCUCAGGCUGAGAUAAAAUAUAACAGAGUUUGCCAAGGUCUUUCAUGCCCAGGCAGUCAGUGCUCACAUGUUCCCUGUAACUGCCUGGGUACCUUUCCCUGAGUCAUCAGUCCUGUGUCUUAAUUCUUUUAGUAGCACCUGCAUUCUGCUCCUUUAACCUUCCAUCAAUCAGCUCUUAUAUACUGUACAUCUCUUUCUCAAGAAGCCUUGUGCAACGCAUGGUGAUUUCAACAGUGAUGAAUAUUUCCUUCCCUCUGACUUCUUAUGAAACCAGGAUAAUGAAGCAAAUUAGAAUGUAUUUUAACAUCACUCUCCCUUGUUUGCUGUCCAGCUAAUGAACAGUGGACUGGCUGAAGAAAGACCAGCAUGAAGCAGAAAAAUUGUUUGGUGAAAAAUUCAAGAAUGGGCCAAUAUCCAUUAAAAGAUUGAAAGAGGAGAUGUUUUGGGUCCACCUCCACUGGGGACAGAAAUUCCAUUCUGCCAACACCCCCUCCAUAUCCAUUGUCUGAAAGAGGCACUGCUGUUGAGUCAUAAGUAGGCUCCAGUGGCCCAUGUUGACCCUUUGAAAUUCCCAUGGGACUGUCAAUUCUAUCUAUUCUGGGAGCAGCCAACCAUAGCUAAUUACAGGCCUGUGGUAUUAGUGGAACAAGCUUCAGCUUUUUACAUUGGCUUGAUGGAGAACUGAGUAGAUAUAAAAGUGUUACAUGUUUUUCUGUAAUCAUAAUAACGUAAUCUUGUUUCAUAAUCAUUAAUAAUUCCUAACAUUUAUUGAAGAGUUAAUAUGUGUUGAGUAUUUUUGUAAGUGCUUAACAUGCAGUUUUUAAAAUUUUAACUCCUUUUUACAGAAAAGGUUUACAGAACGCCAGAGGGGUAGGUGAUUUUGCCAGAGCUCUUUUAGGUAAUAGGAAACAAAGCCAUAAAUUUGAUCCCAGCUAGUUUGACCCCAUAGUCCAAGCAUUAAUCCCUGAACCACACUAGCUCUGGCAAGGGUAUAAAUGAGCAGUGAUUACUAACUGACUUAAAACACAAUAGGAAUUAUCCCCAGUGAAUUCCAACAUAUAAAGGGACACUAAUUCUUGCCAUAGAAAAUCUAUUUGAUAAGUAUGAACAAGAAUUCCAAGGUUAUCAAAAAUAAUUUCUAAUAGUUUAAUUCUUUAAAAGAAAUGGUGUAUCUCAUGGACACAGGAAGGGGAACAUCACACUCCGGGGACUGUUGUUGGGUGGGGGGAGCGGGGAGGGAGAGCAUUAGGAGAUAUACCUAAUGCUAAAUGACAAGUUAAUGGGUGCAGCACACCAACGUGGCACAUGUAUACAUAUGUAACAAACCUGCACAUUGUGCAAAU
This 2342-nucleotide long non-coding RNA is filed under the name Homo sapiens (human). Its description in RNAcentral is "HSALNT0139822". The record is from RNAcentral. Lineage: Eukaryota; Metazoa; Chordata; Mammalia; Primates; Hominidae.